Molecule: small RNA, 31 nt
Filed under: Bombyx mori (domestic silkworm)
Lineage: Eukaryota; Metazoa; Arthropoda; Insecta; Lepidoptera; Bombycidae
Description: ovarian small RNA-16136
Source: RNAcentral
GAUCUUCGUCGAGCGACUCCAGGAGAGUCUA